UCUAGAACUUGAUAUAUGGGCUAAACAUUGAACAGUGUCUGGGCUGCAGGACAGAUUCAGACUUCUCUUUUGAUGCUAAAAUUUGGACUUCCAAACAGCAGAAUUGAGUCUUGGACACUCUUGAAUGUUUUAAGCCUAUGUCUUAGCUUUCAAGC
This is a non-coding RNA of Populus trichocarpa (black cottonwood), 155 nucleotides long. Lineage: Eukaryota; Viridiplantae; Streptophyta; Magnoliopsida; Malpighiales; Salicaceae. The record is from Rfam.